GACGAACGCUGGCGGCGUGCUUAACACAUGCAAGUCGAACGGAAAGGCCCUGCUUUUGUGGGGUGCUCGAGUGGCGAACGGGUGAGUAACACGUGAGUAACCUGCCCUUGACUUUGGGAUAACUUCAGGAAACUGGGGCUAAUACCGGAUAGGAGCUCCUGCUGCAUGGUGGGGGUUGGAAAGUUUCGGCGGUUGGGGAUGGACUCGCGGCUUAUCAGCUUGUUGGUGGGGUAGUGGCUUACCAAGGCUUUGACGGGUAGCCGGCCUGAGAGGGUGACCGGCCACAUUGGGACUGAGAUACGGCCCAGACUCCUACGGGAGGCAACAGUGGGGAAUAUUGCACAAUGGGCGGAAGCCUGAUGCAGCAACGCCGCGUGCGGGAUGACGGCCUUCGGGUUGUAAACCGCUUUCGCCUGUGACGAAGCGUGAGUGACGGUAAUGGGUAAAGAAGCUCCGGCUAACUACGU
RNAcentral lists this ribosomal RNA (467 nucleotides) under uncultured bacterium. RNAcentral describes it as "partial 16S ribosomal RNA". It matches the Rfam family "Bacterial small subunit ribosomal RNA", at positions 28 to 506 of the family's 1533-position model. The record is from RNAcentral.